Molecule: ribosomal RNA, 1974 nt
Filed under: human gut metagenome
Description: bacterial LSU rRNA
Rfam family: Bacterial large subunit ribosomal RNA
Source: RNAcentral
AAUCGAACCCGGAGAUAGCUGGUUCUCCCCGAAAUAGCUUUAGGGCUAGCGUCGAGGUAGAGAGUUGCGUGAAGGUAGAGCACUGAAUAUGUGAUGGCCCCAUCUCGGGGUACUGAGCAUAAUCAAACUGCGAAUGUCACGGAAACAUACUCGGCAGUCAGACAGCGGGUGAUAAGGUCCGUUGUCAAGAGGGAAACAGCCCAGACCAUCAGCUAAGGUCCCAAAAUGUAUGCUAAGUGGAAAAGGAUGUGGAGAUGUACAGACAACUAGGAGGUUGGCUCAGAAGCAGCCAUCCUUUAAAGAGUGCGUAACAGCUCACUAGUCGAAUGACUCUGCGCCGAUAAUUUACCGGGGCUAAGCAUACUACCGAAGCUAUGGAUCCCAAGGGAUGGUAGGGGAGCGUUCCAUGAACGGAGAAGCGCGAUCGAGAGGACGCGUGGAGAUCAUGGAAGAGAGAAUGCCGGUGUGAGUAGCGGAACGUGGGUGAGAAUCCCACGCACCGAAAACCCAAGGUUUCCAGAGGAAGGUUCGUCCGCUCUGGGUAAGUCGGGACCUAAGGCGAGGCCGAGAGGCGUAGUCGAUGGACAACAGGUAGAGAUUCCUGUACUCAUAUAUAUGUGAAGGAAUGACGGAGAGAGGAAGCUGCAGCCAGCGGCUGGAAGAGCUGGUGCAAGCGAGAUAUCGGGAUGGCAGGCAAAUCCACCAUCCGAAACGAGAAGGCGUGAAGCGUACGGAAAGCUAAGGCGAGUACGGAAGGCAGUGGAGGAGCUUCCAAGAAAAGUUUCUAACGAAAGUAUAUGUGACCCGUACCGAAAAUGGACACACAUGGGUGAGGAGAGAAUCCUAAGGUGAGCGAGAGAACUAUAGCUAAGGAACUCUGCAAAAUGACUCCGUAACUUAGGGAGAAGGAGUGCUCAUAGAGAUAUGAGCCGCAGUGAAACGGCCCAAGCGACUGUUUACCAAAAACACAGCUCUCUGCUAAGCCGCAAGGCGAAGUAUAGGGGGUGACGCCUGCCCGGUGCUGGAAGGUUAAGGGGAGGGGUUAACGCAAGUGAAGCCCUGAACUGAAGCCCCAGUAAACGGCGGCCGUAACUAUAACGGUCCUAAGGUAGCGAAAUUCCUUGUCAGGUAAGUUCUGACCCGCACGAAAGGCGUAACGAUUUGGGCGCUGUCUCAGCUGUAGACUCGGUGAAGUCUUAGUACCUGUGAAGAUGCAGGUUACCCGCGACUAGACGGAAAGACCCCAUGGAGCUUCACUGCAGGUUGAUAUUGGGAUUUGAUGCAGCAUGUACAGGAUAGGUAGGAGGCAAAGAGAUGGAUACGCCAGUAUUCAAGGAGCCGCUGUUGGGAUACUACCCCUGUUGUAUUGGAUUUCUAACCGGACGACGUAAAGCCGUUGACGGGACAGUGUCAGUCGGGCAGUUUGACUGGGGCGGUCGCCUCCCAAAGAGUAACGGAGGCGCCCAAAGAUACCCUCAGCUUGGAUGGAAACCAAGCGCAGAGUGCAAAGGCAAAAGGGUGUUUGACUGCGAGACCUACAAGUCGAGCAGGGACGAAAGUCGGGCUUAGUGAUCCGGCGGUGCUGAAUGGAAAGGCCGUCGCUCAACGGAUAAAAGCUACCCUGGGGAUAACAGGCUGAUCUCCCCCAAGAGUUCACAUCGACGGGGAGGUUUGGCACCUCGAUGUCGGCUCAUCGCAUCCUGGAGCUGAAGUCGGUUCCAAGGGUUGGGCUGUUCGCCCAUUAAAGCGGUACGCGAGCUGGGUUCAGAACGUCGUGAGACAGUUCGGUCCCUAUCUGUCGUGGGCGCAGGAAAUUUGAGAAGAGCUGUCCUCAGUACGAGAGGACCGGGAUGGACGCAUCAAUGGUGGACCAGUUGUCACGCCAGUGGCAUAGCUGGGUAGCUAAAUGCGGAAGGGAUAAACGCUGAAGGCAUCUAAGUGUGAAACCCACUUCAAGAUGAGAUUUCCCAUUGC